RNAcentral lists this ribosomal RNA (616 nucleotides) under Ballistosporomyces xanthus. Its description in RNAcentral is "eukaryotic LSU rRNA". It matches the Rfam family "Eukaryotic large subunit ribosomal RNA", at positions 54 to 663 of the family's 3401-position model. The record is from RNAcentral. Lineage: Eukaryota; Fungi; Basidiomycota; Agaricostilbomycetes; Agaricostilbales; Chionosphaeraceae.
AGGAAAAGAAACUAACAAGGAUUCCCCUAGUAACGGCGAGUGAAGUGGGAAAAGCUCAACUUUGUAAUCUGGCUCUUUCAGAGUCCGAGUUGUAGUCUCGAGAAGCAACAUCCGCAUCGGACCUUGGGUAUGUCUGUUGGAAAACAGCGUCGUAGAGGGUGACAAUCCCGUUUGUACCAAGGACGACCGCGUGCAUUGUGGUGUGCUUUCCAAGAGUCGAGUUGUUUGGGAAUGCAGCUCAAAUUGGGUGGUAAAUUCCAUCUAAAGCUAAAUAUUGGCGAGAGACCGAUAGCGAACAAGUACCGUGAGGGAAAGAUGAAAAGCACUUUGGAAAGAGAAUGAAACAGUAUGUGAAAUUGCUGGAAGGGAAACGAUUGAAGUUAGACUUGCGUGGGCCCCACUCAGCCUUUUUGGUGUACUUGGGGCCCGUUGCAGGCCAGCAUCGGUUUGCUUCGCGGAAUAAGGGUGCGCGGGAUGUGGCUUCUUUUGAAGUGUUAUAAACGCGCACUGGAUGCCGAGUCGCAGACCGAGGAACGCAGCGUGUUUGUAGUGCCUGCAGGUACAGAGCGCUUAGGAUGCUGGUAGAAUAGCUUUAAACGACCCGUCUUGAAACACG